GCCGCGGUGGUGGAAUUGGUAGACACGCUGGUCUUAGGAACCAGUGCCGAAAGGCGUGAAGGUUCGAGUCCUUUCCGCGGCA
RNAcentral lists this transfer RNA (82 nucleotides) under Fidelibacterota bacterium. RNAcentral describes it as "tRNA-Leu". It matches the Rfam family "tRNA". From Rfam's summary of the family: Transfer RNA (tRNA) molecules are approximately 80 nucleotides in length. Their secondary structure includes four short double-helical elements and three loops (D, anti-codon, and T loops). Further hydrogen bonds mediate the characteristic L-shaped molecular structure. tRNAs have two regions of fundamental functional importance: the anti-codon, which is responsible for specific mRNA codon recognition, and the 3' end, to which the tRNAs corresponding amino acid is attached (by aminoacyl-tRNA synthetases). tRNAs cope with the degeneracy of the genetic code in two manners: having more than one tRNA (with a specific anti-codon) for a particular amino acid; and 'wobble' base-pairing, i.e. permitting non-standard base-pairing at the 3rd anti-codon position. Lineage: Bacteria; Pseudomonadati; Fidelibacterota. The record is from RNAcentral.